Molecule: ribosomal RNA, 206 nt
Filed under: uncultured bacterium
Lineage: Bacteria
Description: partial 16S ribosomal RNA
Rfam family: Bacterial small subunit ribosomal RNA
Source: RNAcentral
CGUGUAGGCGGCCAGAUAGGUCUGUUGUGAAAACUCGAGGCUCAACCUCGAGACGCCGAUGGAAACCAUUUGGCUAGAGUCCGGAAGAGGAGAGUGGAAUUCCUGGUGUAGCGGUGAAAUGCGCAGAUAUCAGGAAGAACACCCGUGGCUAAGGCGGCUCUCUAGUACGGUACUGACGCUGAGACGCGAAAGCGUGGGAGCGAACA